RNAcentral lists this ribosomal RNA (471 nucleotides) under uncultured bacterium. RNAcentral's name for it is "SSU rRNA". It matches the Rfam family "Bacterial small subunit ribosomal RNA", at positions 26 to 518 of the family's 1533-position model. The record is from RNAcentral.
AGGAUAAACGCUGGCGGCGUGCCUAACACAUGCAAGUCGAACGUCUCUUCUUUCGGGAAGAGGAGUGGCGGACGGGUGAGGAACACGUGGGAACCUGCCCUUUAGUGAGGAAUACCGGCGAGAAAUCGCCGACAAGACCGCAUAGCCCUCUUUGAUGAGAGUCAAAGAAGGAAAGCUUCGCAAGAGGCGCUAGAGGAGGGGCCUGCGUCCGAUUAGCUAGUUGGUGGGGUAAGAGCCUACCAAGGCGUCGAUCGGUAGCUGGUCUGAGAGGACGACCAGCCACACUGGGAUUGAGAACGGCCCAGACUCCUACGGGGGCAGCAGUGAGGAAUUUUCGGCAAUGGGGGAAACCCUGACCGAGCAACGCCGCGUGCAGGAAGACGGCCUUCGGGUUGUAAACUGCUUUUCUUUGGGACGAGGAAGGACGGUACCAGAGGAAUCAGCCCCGGCUCACUACGUGCCAGCAGCCGC